RNAcentral lists this ribosomal RNA (478 nucleotides) under uncultured bacterium. RNAcentral describes it as "partial 16S ribosomal RNA". It matches the Rfam family "Bacterial small subunit ribosomal RNA", at positions 28 to 523 of the family's 1533-position model. The record is from RNAcentral.
GACGAACGCUGGCGGCGUGCUUAACACAUGCAAGUCGAACGGUAAGGCCCUUCGGGGUACACGAGUGGCGAACGGGUGAGUAACACGUGGGUGAUCUGCCCUGCACUUCGGGAUAAGCCUGGGAAACUGGGUCUAAUACCGGAUAGAACUCCUGGCUUCAUGGUUGGGGGUGGAAAGCUUUUGCGGUGUGGGAUGGGCCCGCGGCCUAUCAGCUUGUUGGGGGGGUAAUGGCCUACCAAGGCGACGACGGGUAGCCGGCCUGAGAGGGUGACCGGUCACACUGGGACUGAGAUACGGCCCAGACUCCUACGGGAGGCAGCAGUGGGGAAUAUUGCACAAUGGGCGCAAGCCUGAUGCAGCGACGCCGCGUGAGGGAUGACGGCCUUCGGGUUGUAAACCUCUUUCAGCUAUGACGAAGCGCAAGUGACGGUAGUAGCAGAAGAAGGACCGGCCAACUACGUGACAGCCGCCGCAGUAA